Molecule: ribosomal RNA, 427 nt
Filed under: uncultured prokaryote
Description: bacterial SSU rRNA
Rfam family: Bacterial small subunit ribosomal RNA
Source: RNAcentral
UAGGGAAUCUUCGGCAAUGGGCGAAAGCCUGACCGAGCAACGCCGCGUGAAUGAUGGAGGCCUUCGGGUUGUAAAAUUCUGUUAUAAGGGAAGAAUGGCUCUAGUAGGAAAUGGCUAGAGUGUGACGGUACCUUAUGAGAAAGCCACGGCUAACUACGUGCCAGCAGCCGCGGUAAUACGUAGGUGGCGAGCGUUAUCCGGAAUUAUUGGGCGUAAAGAGCGCGCAGGUGGGUGAUUAAGUCUGAUGUGAAAGCCCACGGCUUAACCGUGGAGGGUCAUUGGAAACGGGUCAACUUGAGUGCAGAAGAGGGAAGUGGAAUUCCAGGUGUAGCGGUGAAAUGCGUAGAGAUAUGGAGGAACACCAGUGGCGAAGGCGGCUUCCUGGUCUGUAACUGACACUGAGGCGCGAAAGCGUGGGGAGCAAACA